CUUAAAUUAAAUCACGCUAGCUA
This 23-nucleotide non-coding RNA is filed under the name Arabidopsis thaliana (thale cress). Lineage: Eukaryota; Viridiplantae; Streptophyta; Magnoliopsida; Brassicales; Brassicaceae. The record is from RNAcentral.